GGUCCAGACUCCUACGGGAGGCAGCAGUGGGGAAUUUUGGACAAUGGGCGCAAGCCUGAUCCAGCAAUGCCGCGUGAGUGAAGAAGGCCUUCGGGUUGUAAAGCUCUUUUGUCAGGGAAGAAACGGACUUUUCUAAUACAGAGGUCUAAUGACGGUACCUGAAGAAUAAGCACCGGCUAACUACGUGCCAGCAGCCGCGGUAAUACGUAGGGUGCAAGCGUUAAUCGGAAUUACUGGGCGUAAAGCGUGCGCAGGCGGUUUUGUAAGACUG
RNAcentral lists this ribosomal RNA (271 nucleotides) under Duganella sp. FT27W. RNAcentral describes it as "partial 16S ribosomal RNA". It matches the Rfam family "Bacterial small subunit ribosomal RNA", at positions 328 to 591 of the family's 1533-position model. Lineage: Bacteria; Pseudomonadati; Pseudomonadota; Betaproteobacteria; Burkholderiales; Oxalobacteraceae. The record is from RNAcentral.